This 635-nucleotide long non-coding RNA is filed under the name Vitis vinifera (wine grape). Its description in RNAcentral is "long non-coding RNA (VVIN_LNC000807)". Lineage: Eukaryota; Viridiplantae; Streptophyta; Magnoliopsida; Vitales; Vitaceae. The record is from RNAcentral.
AGAGCUUAUAGAGGAGGGAGCUGAGUAAGCACUGCCUGAGAAGUUCAGGUAUGGCCAACAUGGAUUUCUUUAUUUUGGAUUUCUUCAUUUUCCUUCUCUAUUAUUGCUGUUUUUGAGUAUAACUUGUUGUUGAUCUCUUGAUUCACAUUUCCUGGAGUUUUGUUUGGGUAUGAACUGUCUCUGUUGCAACUUUCCUAUAAAAUGUCUAAAUCAUGCCUGGGUCUUUGUCUAAAAUUUAUUGAUCUCACUCACCUUCGUUUAAGCACAUUGAUUGUAAUAUGAAACGUGGCUGUCUGCUGGUUCAUUUUAUUUCAUUCUUUUGUGCUCUGUUUGUACUCUGUUUUCGAUGUUCUCCUUUGUUUCUGGUCUGUUCAAAGUGUUGGAUAUCUCAGCUGGGUUGAUCAUUUUGGUUGGGAUAUUUAUGGGAGAGCCCCAUGAGAAGCUCAAUUCUCAUACAAACGAAAAUUUCUGGAUACCUGUAAGAUGUGUGAACCACACUCAUGAAAUGCUGAGAGAUGCAAAAGAGAGAGCCCAGAAAGUUGAGGAUGGACUACAUUGUGCCAUCUCUUGGAUGUUUAGAAAAAUCCACUCAGUCCCAACUCGGAUCCAUUCGGAAGAAUCUGAAUCAGGGUGUC